Molecule: ribosomal RNA, 486 nt
Filed under: uncultured bacterium
Lineage: Bacteria
Description: partial 16S ribosomal RNA
Rfam family: Bacterial small subunit ribosomal RNA
Source: RNAcentral
AUUGAACGCUGGCGGCAUGCCUUACACAUGCAAGUCGAACGGCAGCACGGGUGCUUGCCCCUGGUGGCGAGUGGCGAACGGGUGAGUAAUACAUCGGAACAUGUCCUGUAGUGGGGGAUAGCCCGGCGAAAGCCGGAUUAAUACCGCAUACGAUCUACGGAUGACAGCGGGGGACCUUCGGGCCUCGCGCUAUAGGGUUGGCCGAUGGCUGAUUAGCUAGUUGGUGGGGUAAAGGCCUACCAAGGCGACGAUCAGUAGCUGGUCUGAGAGGACGACCAGCCACACUGGGACUGAGACACGGCCCAGACUCCUACGGGAGGCAGCAGUGGGGAAUUUUGGACAAUGGGCGAAAGCCUGAUCCAGCAAUGCCGCGUGUGUGAAGAAGGCCUUCGGGUUGUAAAGCACUUUUGUCCAGAAAGAAAUCCUUGGCCCUAAUACGGUCGGGGGAUGACGGUACCGGAAGAAUAAGCACCGGCUAACUACGUG